This 296-nucleotide ribosomal RNA is filed under the name uncultured fungus. Its description in RNAcentral is "partial 18S ribosomal RNA". It matches the Rfam family "Eukaryotic small subunit ribosomal RNA", at positions 71 to 370 of the family's 1831-position model. Lineage: Eukaryota; Fungi. The record is from RNAcentral.
GCAUUAUACCGUGAAACUGCGAAUGGCUCAUUAAAUCAGUUAUCGUUUAUUUGAUAGUACCUUACUACUUGGAUAACCGUGGUAAUUCUAGAGCUAAUACAUGCUAAAAACCCCAACUUCGGGAGGGGUGUAUUUAUUAGAUAAAAAACCAAUGCCCCUCGGGGCUCCUUGGUGAUUCAUGAUAACUUCUCAGAUCGCAUAGCCUUGUGCUGGCGACGGUUCAUUCAAAUUUCUGCCCUAUCAACUUUCGAUGGUAAGGUAUUGGCUUACCAUGGUUUCAACGGGUAACGGGGAAU